GACUGGAUAGCUCAGUGGUUAGAGCAGUCCACCCGGAUAGUGGGAAGGUCCUUGGUUCAAACCCAAGACUGGUCA
Molecule: non-coding RNA, 75 nt
Organism: Crassisporium funariophilum
Lineage: Eukaryota; Fungi; Basidiomycota; Agaricomycetes; Agaricales; Crassisporiaceae
Source: the annotation of a GenBank genome assembly